Molecule: ribosomal RNA, 450 nt
Filed under: uncultured bacterium
Lineage: Bacteria
Description: partial 16S ribosomal RNA
Rfam family: Bacterial small subunit ribosomal RNA
Source: RNAcentral
CCUACGGGGGGCUGCAGUAAGGAAUAUUGGUCAAUGGGCGCAAGCCUGAACCGGCCAUGCCGCGUGAAGGAAGAAGGCCUUAUGGGUCGUAAACUUCUUUUAUAAGGGAAAAAAUUGGGGUACGUGUACCUCAUUGCUUGUACCUUAUGAAUAAGCAUCGGCUAACUCCGUGCCAGCAGCCGCGGUAAUACGGAGGAUGCGAGCGUUAUCCGGAUUCAUUGGGUUUAAGGGGUGCUGAUAAGGACUGAUUGAAAUCCCAUAGCUCAACUAUGGAUCUGCCAUUGAUACUGUCAGACUAGAGUAUAUUUGACGUAGGCGGAAUGCGACAUGUAGCGGUGAAAUGCUUAGAUAUGUCGCAGAACACCGAUUGCGAAGGCAGCUUACGAAACUAUAACUGACGCUCAUGCACGAAAGCGUGGGGAUCAAACAGGAUUAGAUACCCGAGUAGUC